Molecule: ribosomal RNA, 384 nt
Filed under: uncultured eukaryote
Lineage: Eukaryota
Description: partial 18S ribosomal RNA
Rfam family: Eukaryotic small subunit ribosomal RNA
Source: RNAcentral
CAAUAGCGUAUAUUAAAGUUGUUGCAGUUAAAAAGCUCGUAGUUGGAUUUCUGGUGGGAGCGACCGGUCGGCGCUUAACGGCGUGUGCACUGGAGUUGUCUCUUGCCAUCCUUGAGGAGAACGUGUCUGGCAUUAAGUUGUCGGGCUUGGGAUCCUCAUCGUUUACUGUGAAAAAAUUAGAGUGUUUAAAGCAGGCAUUUGCUGUGAAUACAUUAGCAUGGAAUAAUAAGAUAGGACUUUGGUGCUAUUUUGUUGGUUUGCGUACCAAGGUAAUGAUUAAUAGGGAUAGUUGGGGGUAUUCGUAUUCAAUUGUCAGAGGUGAAAUUCUUGGAUUUAUGGAAGACGAACAACUGCGAAAGCAUUUACCAAGGAUGUUUNCAUUAA